Molecule: ribosomal RNA, 264 nt
Filed under: uncultured bacterium
Lineage: Bacteria
Description: partial 16S ribosomal RNA
Rfam family: Bacterial small subunit ribosomal RNA
Source: RNAcentral
UACGAAGGGGGCUAGCGUUGUUCGGAUUUACUGGGCGUAAAGCGCACGUAGGCGGAUUGGUCAGUUAGGGGUGAAAUCCUGGAGCUCAACUCCAGAACUGCCUUUAAUACUGCCAAUCUCGAGUCCGGAAGAGGUAAGUGGAACUCCUAGUGUAGAGGUGGAAUUCGUAGAUAUUAGGAAGAACACCAGUGGCGAAGGCGGCUUACUGGUCCGGUACUGACGCUGAGGUGCGAAAGCGUGGGGAGCAAACAGGAUUGAGAUACC